GGAGUCUUGGCAGGUCCCCACACAUCUGAAUGCACAUAAUCCAGAAUACCCUUGAUAUUGUGAAUUGCAAUGCCAAACUUCACUCUUCGUUGUUUUCCCAGAACACAAUGCUCACAAAAUUCAAGUUUGCAAGCCUUCGUACCUUUCAACAAUCCCUGCUUGGUAAGAAUUUGCAAGGAUUUCUCUCCAGCAUGUCCCAACCUCAUAUGCCACAACUUCGUUGCCUCGUCAUCCUUCUUAGUGCCAGAAGUUGAUGCCGCUACUAUCCUCACCAUUGUACUACCUUGAUAGUAAUAUAGAUUGUUCUUCCUCACGCCUUUCAACAUCACCAGUGCUCCUGAAGUUGCUUUAAGAAUUCCAUCUCACAUCGUCCCAACUAGGCCUUUAGAUUCUAAAGCCGCCAAUGAGAUGAGAUUUUUCUUCAACUUUGGCACGUUCCGUACAUCCCGCAAAAUUCUGAUGGAUCCAUCAUGAUUCCGCAGCUUGAUUGAACUUAUCUCUGUUGUCUUACAUGGAUUAUCAUUACCAAAGUAAACAACCCCGCCGUCGAGUUCUUGAAAUUCAAAGAACCAAUCCCGAAUGGGACACGUAUGAUAGGUACAGCCUGAAUCCAAUAUUCACUCAUCUGGAUACGAUGAUGUUGAAAGCGAGACAAUUAAAGAGAUAUCAGAUUCCACAUCACUUUUGCAUUCUGCAACAUUUGCAUCUUGCGGAGCCUUCCCUUUCUUCUGCAGUUUUGGACAGUCUUUCUUCCAGUGUCCUUUCUCAUGACAGAAAACACACUCAUCUUUGGCAACGGCUCGACCUUUAGACUUAGUCCUCCAUCUUCUCCCCUUUGUCUGGCUUUGCUGAUGACCUCUUGCCACCAAUGCUUCUUCUGAUGUCAUUGAUUUGGCUUUCAUCUUUUCCUGCUUUUUCAAUUCAUGACUAUAUAAAGCAGAACAAACAGCAUCUAACGACACAUUCUCCUUCCCGUGAAGGAGUAUAGUCUCCAAAUGUUCAAAUUCACCAAGAAGAGAUGAUAAGAACACCAAAGCCAAUUCCUCUUGCUCAAACUUCACAUCUAAAUUUAACAAGUUUGCUACUAAUUGAUCAAACAUAGUGAUGUGUGCAUUCAUAGUAGUACCUUGUUGGUAGUCAAAUCAGAACAAUCUUUUCUUCAUCAGGAGCUUGUUCUAACCACUCUUCUUCAUAAACUUGUCCUCCAAUGCCUUCCACAGUUUGUGUGCAAAAGUCUCGUUUUUUACAGCAUACUUCUACUCUCUGGACAGGUAGGAUCGAAUAGUUCCGCAUGACAACCAGUUGAUGAUGCUCUAGUCUUUCUCCUCUACUCUUUUGGUUUAUCUCCUUCAAUAGCAAUAUCAAUACCCUACUGAAAAAGAGAGUCCAAGACCUGUCCUUGCCACAUGCCAAAAUGUCUAAUGCCAUCAAAUAUUUCCACUGCCAAUUUCAAAGUGGACACCGGGAACCUCGACCAUGAUGACGAGGAGCCCGACACUCUGGAUACAUUCUUCGCUUCUUCUUCUUGAUUUGUCAUUACAAACUCAAAAUAUAGUAUUCAAUAUUACAAACAAUUUCAAACAAUCCAAUGGUGAACCUUCGACUCUUGAUACCACUUGUUGGGAAAAACGGAUAAUUUCCCCACUAAAACAGAACACUAACAGAGCUACCCGACAAAUAAUAUUAAAUAAACAGAGCGAAAUAAUAAAAGAGAUAAAGAGAAAAGGCACACCAAAAAAUUGUUAACGGAGUUCAGCCAAUUUAGCCUAAUCACGAGUCCAGCUAAAACAGCUCACUUUUAUUAUUAUGGGAGAAGAUAUUACAAAUUGGGAUAUAUUACAGUGAAGGAGGAGAGGUUAAUUUAUAACCUUCAAACCUCCUUCCCAAACAAUGAACCCAGCGAUGUGAGACUCGGGAUUAAGCCAAAAUCAACAAUUAACAAAUUCACCUCCAAAACUCCAUUAUCUUUCUUGCAAACAAUUCCUAUCCAAACAUAACAAAUAUGAAAAAAAAGAACGGAAAGGUUUUGGAUAACUAAUAAAAAGAAUUCCAAUUAUCUACCGCCAUGGCAUAACGUUGGACUUUCCAAGCAUCGCUGCAUAAAUAUUUCGAAAACACUCAACUCAAUAAACAAUGAAGGAAACAAGAAAAAAAUCUAUCACUGGUUGUUUAGACAUGUUAGCCGUCCCACUAUAUUCCAUCACUGGCUGAGUUAACAAUCUGAAAGAUAAAUCACAAAUAAAGACUCAACGUGUUGCAAACAAAUAAGUGCAAAUUUCAAAACUGGACGAACGAGAUUUUUAGAAACAUAAGUGAAGCAUUUAAAAUAAUUUCAGGAUCAUUAUUAAAAAUUUCCACGUAAGAGACAUUGUUGUCACUGACGAUAGGCUCAGACAUUGUUGUCACUCACAGUAAGAGACAUUGUUGUCACUCAUAGCACGCUCACAGGAGAUUACAUGCAACAAUUCCAAACAAGUUCACAACUCAACACAUCCUACACCACACUUCAUUGCUUGGCUUCCCUAUAAGACCAAUGAAUUCAAGAAAACUAUAAUCAAUCUCAGUAGAUACACACAAUAACCGACACAGGUACCUUCUAACUAUCCAACCAAUAAGAGAGACUGUAGACAUUCCAAAUCGAGCACAUACGAAAAAUAGUGAAUGGAAACGUAGUAAAACCUAAAGCUUCACAAUAAGUCCAACAAUCUAACACAGUUGCCUCCACAACCCAAAAGACAUCCAUAGUAAGUCACUGCAACUCAAGUAGAAAAAGAUAUCGAAUCAUCAAAGUCGAAGGCCCAACAACACAAAUGCUAAAGCCUCUCUCAUAUUGAUAUAGUGCCUGUUUUCAAGAACUCCCACUCCACAAUUUUAGCCAAAAAUAUAAUCACAAAGAAAAUCAUGAAUGCAGAAAUAAUAAAACCUAAGGUUUUACCGGACCUCCAUCCACUGUUUUCGAAACCUGCCCCAUAUAUCUAUUGUCUUCCCGUGAAAUCUCAACAAGAAGCAUAGGAACUUGAGAAAACUAAACUUUCUUAAAAGCAUGACAUAACAAAAUGAUCAAGUGAUUCAGAAAUAUAAUUAGCAAUAAGAUAGUGUUUCCUUCGACAUCCUACCCAAAUCCUAAAACCUGUUGGAGUAGGGGAGGUGUCACUCAUAGCUCAUAGCCUUGAGGGAUUGGGGGAGACGUGGCUCAGGAAAAUUACAAGAAAACAUUCCAAAUACUGUUGUUUCUCUCAUUCGUGUGGGAGAUAUUGGAAAGCUUCUCUCAUUCUCAUAUAGGAGAUAGAACUAAGUAGAGCUCUAAUAUUGGAAAAAAUUGUUGCUUCUCAUUCUCAUAUUGGAGAUAGAACUAAAUAUAGCACUCAUAUUGGAGAUCAUUCUCAUAUUGAAAGAUAAUUGAGAUAAUCUGAUCAAGGAUGAGGCUAGGUGAUAUUCCGAAUGUAACUCAAAACUGCUCAAAAUAAAACAAUACAAAAUGAAGUUUUGAAAUCAAAUUGUCCAAUGCUCUUUAUAAUUAGUAAAAUGAAGUAAUAACUAAGAAAAUAGGAAAUAAAAGAAAACUAUAUAUAAUUACAACCAAAACAAUAUAGCCCUAUAUAUUUAGUGAGAUGUAUUUAUUAAACAACUACACCAAAAAAGACUUUCUAGAAGAGAGUGCGAGUAAGUUUUGUAAAUUUCUAAAAUCAAAUUCUUAUAAAUUCUUAUGAAAGUGAACCAUUAACCCCUUUUCUUUUUACCAUAAAGAUUUAGAAAUACAGUGGUUCAAAUUAGAAAACCUAGAAAAAAAUUGAAGAGAAUGUAAGAACAAAAAACAUAUAUAUUUGACCCUUAUAAACCAAUUGGAUAUUUAGCCAAUUGAAAUAUGUAGAGAAUUUCGCUUCAAUCAGCAUACACAUUGUGAUACAGAUCAACCCAGGAACCUUUCUUAAGAAUUACAAUAAAGAGCAUGUGUAGCCAACAUAGGGUUUUAAGAUUUUUCCUACAAAGAGUGUAUACAAAGCAAUUUAUUAAUGAUUACUUAAAAUUUUUUAUAAAAUAGAUUCACAAUCGAAAAAUCAUUCAGAUCAUCAACAUUAUAAUGAAAGCAAAUAUUUAGUUAGCAAUCAUUAUAAAAAUACAUUAUAAAACAUUAUAAAAAUAAACAAAUUAUUGAAAGCAAAAUACAAUUUUUUUGUAAGUAACUACUAUAAAGUUAAAAAAACAAAUGUUAGAGAAUCAUUAGCCAACAAAGGACUUCUAGAUUACUUUUUCAACAAGAAUAACUAUUAAAGGAAAUAUAACAACCAUGAAUAAUGUUAUAAAAACCACUGCAAUUCUGCUAUAAUCAAAUGAUCAUAUUAAUAAAGCAAUUAUGUAAUUCAAUGUAAAAAUAAAAGUAUUAUAUAUAUAUAUAUAUUCCUAGAAAAUAUCUCACAAACACAUCAUAUAUUUCAAACUUCAAUAAUCAAACGAGAACUAUAUUCAAAUUUAUGUUUUUUAAUCCUCAUCGAAAUCAUGCUGAAAAGGAACCAACACAAGCACAUUAACUGUGACAUAUGAUAGAUCUCUGACAUAAAAUAAAUAGCCAUAAUCAAACUCAAGUAGACAUCUGUCAUCAAAGAGCAAAUCACGAAAUAAAGACAAAAAAAUAUAGGGAUAACAAAACCUAACGCAUCAAGAAUCUCCAUCCAGUAUUUAGAUAUCCUACCUCACAUCCGUUGUACACUUUGAAGAUUUAUCCUCAACCAAUCUUACAUGCAAAAAAGGUAUGAACACAGAGAAAUCAACACCUAGACAUAAAAAAUUUAAGAACAAUAUUUAAAUUCAAAUAGAUAUCAGUAAUAAAAACCAAGAAUUUAAGAAAGGAUAAGAUAAAUUAAUGAAUUCAAAAACCAAUGGAGCCUUAGUUGCUCAUAACAGGCUCGAUGAGAUACAGGUCAUCACACAAAACUAAACCAAAUCCUGCUGCAGAGAAACAAAUCACAAUUCAAAUCUUAAUGUUCGGUGAUCAACUCCAACUCAACACAGAAGAAAGGUUAUCCCAAGUUGUAAGUCUUCCUAAUCUUAUGAUUUUUAAUACUUUAAUUUUCAGAAAUAAAAUAAUAAUCCCAACUUGUUAACCGUUUUAAUAAAUAGCAUCAAGCAAGAAUCAACAUUAAAGAAAAAGUUUAAGUAUAGAGACAAUAAGACAUUCAAAACAAAGACAGACAUCAACAUUCAACAAGCUCGAUAUGAAACAUAAUCCAAACAUCAAAGCACAUAAACAAAUGACAAUUUAAUCCUUAUGCUUCGUGAACAAAUGUCAAGAAAUCAAAUAAAGAGGAAACUCAUAAGAAAUUAGGUUAUCCUGAAUUAUUGGUUGUUCUAAACACUUUCAGAUUUUAAUCCUCAACCAUUCUUGCAGUCUCAACAUGCUAAAAAGAAAUGAACACAAACAAACUAAGUCGGUAAUAAAGACCAAGAAUUUAAGAAAAGAUAAGAUUAAUUAAUAAAUUCAAGAAAUUAAAAAACUAAGAAUUUAAGAAAAGAUUAGUUGAACUAUUCAAGAAUUCAAAAAUCGAUAGAGUCGCAGUUGCUCAUAAAAGGCUCGAUAAGGUCAUCACAUAAAACAAAACCAAACCCUGCUGUAGAGAAACAAAUCAAAAUUCAAAUCUUAAUGAUUCGUGAUCAACUCCAACACAAAGUUAAAUAGCCUUUCACGUUUAAUAUUCAGCUUCAUGCAGACAAUAGUGCUCAAACAAAUCUUAUUCUCCUAAAGGAUUGUUAACAAGAAGGAUAUACAAUUAAAAUCCAAAAAUACUUAUAUAAAAAAGUACCAAGAGUAAUUCUCCAAUUUGCAGAGCAACAAAGUUUUCUCAUGCUACUACUCUACCCCAAAAACCAAUGCCUUUUAGAUUGAAACAAUUCCUGAUAUGGAAAGCAAGGAAGACAACCAAAGGAAACAUUAUCCCAAGUUGUAAGACAAUUUAAACUGUUAUGAUUUUUAAUACUCAAUCGACAAAUGCUAGAAAGGGAUGAAUGCAAACAGUUCAACCAACUCCUGGAUUUGUUAGAAAAAAGUGAGCCUGACUUGUUAGCCGUUUUAAUUGUUUUAAUUCAUUGCGUCAAGCAAGAAUCAGCAUCAAAUAUAAAUAGAAGAAACAAGAGUAGCAAGAAGUCAAAUCAUCCACCACCAUUGCCUCCACGACCAAAGAAACAUUCAUAGUAUGUCUUCCCUGGAAAGACCAAGUGGAAGUAACGGAGAACAAUUAUGAUGACCUUAAGCACUCAAUAUAAAAUUGAAUAGAAAAAAAAAUACAAGAUCCCAAAUCAUGUACGUUACAAGCUAUCCCACAGUUCUAACACUAUGUUGCACACAAUAUAAAAUACAUACAAUUUGUUUCACAAUUCUAACACUAUAUUGCACACAAUAUAAAAUACAUACAAUUUAUUUCUCGAUCAAAUUCAGAAGCUCAUCAUCGGGUUAAUUAAUCUUCAGUAUGCAAAGAUGUUAGUUGUCCCAAUAUCAUGAUUGAUUCAAUAUGAAGGAGAAAUCUAAAAUAAAGACUCGGCUCGUUGCAUAGUACUAAUUAAUUAAAAUAACAUUUACACUCAGCACGCUGCAUACUACUAAUUAAUUAAAAUAACAAUUACAUGGACUUACUGUCUCAUACCUCUAAACUCUUACAGUGCAUGUUACAAUUAGGCAUGAAAUCCCACUGUACAAGCUUAUCCAGAGAAUAAUAACAAGAAAAACUAAAGUUUCACAGGAUCUCCAUGUUUCCCAAACCUAUGACACAAAUACAUUGUCUCCCUGUAAAGCACAAGAGGAAAUAAAACUAGCAACUAAAUAUAUUUAUAUAUAUAUAUACCUAGAAAAUAUCUGAUAAACACAUCAUAUAUUUCAAACUUGUACACACACAGUUAGUAGUUGGACAAUUCCUAGUCCAAAAAUCCAUAAGGCUUUUGACUCUGCCCAAGCCCUACCCUGUCAAAAAUACCAAUCAAGAAUUUUCAGGGUAAAUGAUAAGAGAUCACCAAAUCAUGUUGUUGGUACUUGAACAAUGAAUAGAGAAUUGAUCACACCAAAAUUUCAUUCGGCCUUUUGCAAAUGAAUAAAUUUUUUAACAGUUCACUGCAAGACAAUUAAGAGAAUAGGUCCCCUGAAAUGAUAUUAUUGACCAAGAUUUUCAUUUAAUCACCUCUGAAAUUACUGAUCCUCUGAAACUCUUGUAAAGCCUGUUACCAACACCCAUAAAAACUUCCACAUUAGAAGGUUACUAAAAGCAUAGGCACGAGAAUCCAAAAAAACAGAAAAUUCAAACAAGUUUAGUCAAUCAUGUAUAAAUGCACAACAAAAUUCAAGGGUAAGAACAUAAAGCUUCGCUGGAUCUCGUGCCAAAGUGUCUACAUUCUACCUCAGUCGUUGCUUGUGUUGCUCAAAAGGAUGAAGCAUACAAACAAUAACACAAAUUCAAAAUAAAGAGAUUCACAACAUGAUUGAUUAGACGUAGCAUGAAACAUAAUGCAAACACCACCGCAGAGAAACAAAUGACAAUGAAAAAUCCUAAUAUAUGGUGAUCAAAUCUGAAAAAAUCAAAUAAAGAGGAAAUUCAAACCCAAUCUUUUUAUUUUGAUAGAUCUCUGUCACCAAAUAAAAAUUGCAUUCAAAUAGCUAGUCACAAAUGAACACAAGAGAAAAAUGUAAGGGUAACACUGUCUAAGGCUUCAACUGAUCCCCCAUGCUUCUAAAUGUCCUGACACAUCCAUUGCUCGUGUUACCUGUAAAGAGAAAAAUUUCUAGAAAACUAAAAAAAACUCGUUCUAGAGGAGGAAUUUUAGAAAAUAUUAGAUGAAUUCAAUCAGUAAACCACUGUUGAAAACCAAAUCAAAAUUUAAUACUAAUGUUGGUGAUCAGUCCUUAGAAGUAAAUAAAAGGUGGAACCUCAUAAAAGAAAUUAGGCUAUUACAAGUUCUUGUCUUUUCAAGUUGAACAUGCCGAUGGUAGCGCUCAAACAAAUCCUUUCCAAAAGCAUUGUUGUUAAAAAAUAUUCAAAAUAAAUCUGGAUAUACUUGUACAUUGUAUAAAAGAACUACCAUGAAAUACUAAAGGGUAACUCCCCAAAUUUCAGAGAAACAAAGUUGUCUCAUACUACUCUAAUUAUAGAAACUUAAUGCCUUAACAUUGGUUCAAUUCCUGAUGUGCAAACAAGGAAAUCUGAUACUGCCAGCUUACCACACAUUACUGAAAAUUGAAACCAAGUCAAAACCCACAGAAGAAGAUAGCAAGCCUAGAAUUAUCAGAUAAAACCAAGGUAGCCGUAGUCUCAUUCCUAAAAAUAAGUUUGUGACACAGAACUUUUCGAAAAUGCCCGACUUAAGAUUGGACAUCACAUGUUGUUUUGACUAAAAUUAACAAAUUCACCUCCAAAAUACAAUUCCUGUCCAGAGUCCGUUCUGACUGAAAUUGACAAAUUCACCUCUAAAACUUCAUUAUCUUUAUCGCAUACACUUCUUGUCCAAAUAGAACAAAUAUGAAAAAAAAUGAACUGAAAGGUUUAGGAUAACUAAUAAAAGAAGUCCAAUUAUCUAUCGCCAUGUCAUAAUGUUAACUUUCAAGCCCAAGUGGUUACAGAAAUAUUUCGAAAACACUCAACUCAAUAAACAAUGAAGGAAACAAAAGAAAAAAAAAAUCUAUCACUAGUUGUUCAGACAUGUUAGCCGUCCCACUAUAUAUAUAUUCCAUCACUGGUUGAGUUAUAAAUCUCAAAUAAAGACUCAAUGUGCUGCAAACAAAUAAAAAUAAAUGCAAAUUUCAAAACUAGACGAACGAGAAACCCAAAUGGAGAUUAAAGUGAAACAUUUAAAAUAAUUUCAAGAACAAAUUUCAAAAAUUUCCACCAAAGAGACACUGUUGUAACUCAUAAUAGGCUCAGACAUUGCUGUCACUCAUAAUAGGCUCUCAGACAUUGUUGUUUCAGGAUCAGAUUUCAAAAAUUUCCACCAAAGAGACAUUGUUGUCACUCAUAAUAGGCUCAGACAUUGUUGUCACCCAUCAUAGGCUCUCAAACAUUGUUGUUUUAGGAUCAGAUUUCAAAAAUUUCCACCAAAGACAUUGUUGUCACUAAUAAUAGGUUCUUGGACAUUGUUGUCACCCAUAAUAGGCUCUUAGACAUUCCUGUCAGCCAUAAUAGACUCUCAAACAUUGGUGUCAUCCAUAAUAGGCUCUCAGACAUUGUUGUCACUCAUAAUAGGCUUGCAGGAGAUUACAUGCAGCAAUUCCCAUCAAGUUCACAACUCAGCCCAUAUGUUUGGUAUGAAUCGAAAGGUUUCGGAAAACUAUACAAGAGCCAAAGACCUAUUAGAAGAUUAUCCAGAAAAGCAUCAAAAUUGAGUAGUAGAACUUUUCAAACCAAGGAGUAAACCAUAAAAUCAAAAGAGUAAAAGCCAACCGCAGUUCUCCAAUGCUCAUCCCACAAGAUGCCUCUUAUGAACCAUAAACCAUCAAAAUACAACCAAGAUUAUAAUCAAACCAACAAUGUACAGGCGAAAGAAACAUUUAGCUUCACAAAUAAAAUAAUUGAAUUUCCACAAUUUAAUCCUUGGAGAUCAAAUAGAGAAAAUAAUUCAAACAUCGAACACCAGUCAAUCCAACAACAGAGAGGAAACUAAUCGAGAAAUUAGGAUAUACUGAUGCAGCCGUUUUAAACCCUUUUUAGGGAUUAGUGUUUCAAAUAUCAGAAACUCGAAUUGCUGAAGGGGAAUGAACACCAACACCAAGUUAAGCUAUCACAAAUAAACGCAAAAGAAAGCACAAGAGUAACAGAACAUAAUACUUCACAUCAUGUCCUACACCACGCAUCCAUUGUGUCUUCCAUGUACAACCCAAAAAUUCAAGAAACGAAUUACUGUACAGUCAAAAAUUCAAGGAAACGAACUAAGCUCUUAAUAAAAAGAAGUAUAGAAAAGAUGAGGAUGCAGAUAAAGACUAAAAAGACUUGGACGUUACACAACUAAUCCGAACACCACUGCAGAUAAACAAAUCAUAAUUCAAUCUUAUUAUCGAUGAUCAAAUACCAGAUAAAUUAAAUAACAAAAAGAAGACUAAAAGAAUACUUGAUCAAUUGGCCUUCUGAACUAUUAUGCUUUCCGUUUCAUCCACUGAAAAAACAGGAAUUUGAUCAAAAGGUUCAAAACUCGCCAUCAUCACAUAAAGAAUCAUAUUCGGAGUAAACGAUCUUCAAUCCCAUAGAAGCGUAAAUGAAUCUACUAAUAAUUCUUACGUUCUUCAAUACCAUAAACGCACAUUGAUCACCAAUUAGUAAUUCUUAAUAACUCUUGCGUUCUUCAAUCCGAAAACACAAACAUCAUAUAAUUAGACAAAGCAGAGAAUCAAGAAGUGUGAACUAAUAAGAAGCACAACAAUCCCCCGAAGCAAUAGUAAAAAAAUUCAAUCACCGAAGCAAUACCAUCAAUAACAACAAAACUCAAUAGUCAAGAAAGAUCUUAGGUAUAUAUAGAAAGAGAUUACCAAGAUUAACGGCUGAGAUUACGUGGUGGAUGAAAAAUGGAACUAAUGAUGUAAUUAAGGUUUUGAUUCUUAUCUUAAGACGACUUAAAAUAGGAGAAACAACAUUACAAUUAUUAUUUUAAUGAUAUUUAAAAAAAUUCUUACAAAUAUUGUUUUGGUUUUAUAUUAAUAGAUAAUUCAUUAACAUUUUAGUCAACAUAAUUAAAUUUUAGGAGUUUUGAUUUGAGUUCAAUUUCUAACAUUUUAAUUUUUACAAAUUAUAUUAUCAAUUUUUAAUGCAUUUUUAUUUUAAUAAAUAUUUUGUAUUUUAUCCAUUUGAAAAAAAAAACUUAUUUCUUUAACUAAUGUUUUUUAAAAUAUUUUCCUCAUUAGCUUUAUUAUAAUAAGACAGUAUGAGUUCUUUCUAGAGCAUGUGACUUUUUUUUAUUGGUAUUUCAGAUUAUUUUUAUGUUUUUCAAAUUAUAUUAUUAGUUUUUUAUAUUUUUGUUUUUAUCGCUCAAGCUGAAGUUUUAUUUUAUUUAUUUUUAAGGGGAAAGACUUUUUUUUUAUCUCACCAAUAAUUAAUAGAAAAACAACUUCUAUUAUAAAUAGGCAUAUGCUGUAUUAAGUUCAAUCGAUUUUUUGUUUGAUUUUAAAACAAUUAAUUUUUUUAUAAAAUAAUGGUGAUUCUUUAAUAAAUAUAUUGUAUAUAAAUUUAAGGUAUUUUUCAUUACUUCUAUUAGUGACUGUGAAUCCAUUUUCCAAAAUAUACUGAAAGUUGAAAACAAUUUUUACUAUUAAUCCAUAUUUUUAUAAGAUUAAAAUAAUUUAUUUAAAUGUAAUCCAAUAAUAUCGUUAGAGUUGUUUUAAAAAUAAUUUCACAAAUAUUUAAUAAAAAUGUAAUUUUAACUAAUAAUUCAAAAACUUACCGAAAAAUGAAAAUGAAAAUGAUAAACAUUUUAAAAUACAAAAUGUAAUUAUUUUAUUAAUUAAACUAUUUGUGUGUUUCACUAAAUAUAUUUAUGUUAUGUAAUCAAAAUUUUAAAAAUAAAAUAUAUUUCUAAAUAAUUUAAAAAUGAAUUAAGACUUCAUAGUACUAAAUACAAUUUGGAAAAAAAAAAUAUGUACAAAUUAUUCAUGGUGAAAUACUCAGAUUUGAGACAACAUUUUCGUGACGCCUUUUUUUAUACAUGUUAAAAAUAAAUAAAAAACUAAAGAAGUUAUACAAAAAAAAAUACAAAUUAAUUUAUACAUAAAUUAAUUUUAAUUAUUAAAAAAUUUAAAUCAUUUUUUCGUCUGAUUUCUUUUAUAGGAUUUGUAAAAAAAUUGUCGAAAUAGAACUUUAAUUUUUUUUUUUAAAGUUCUAAGAAUAAGUUAAAAAAUAAUGUUGAGAACAGAAUAUCACCUUUUUUAUGACCACAAAUACAAUAAUUAAACACCAUUUUUAUCUCCUUUUUUUAUCAGAUUUAAACUCUCUAUAUUCUCUUGUGAUUUCUACUUUCUUCCUCCACCAAUUAAAUGGUGACGCCUUAUUUAAAUUAUAUAUAUAUAUAUAUUAUCCAAAUAUCAAAAUACCUUUAGAUUAAAGAAAAAAUAUGUAUUUAUCUCCUAUUAUAUUAUACUAAAUGUCAUUCUUAUUCUUUUUAAUUUUAAAAUAAACAUUUAAUUCUUUUAUAUUUUUUAAUAAAGUGAUGGUUAUAUUUCCUAUAAUUUUCAAAUAAGAAUUUAUCUUUAUUACAUUUUUAAAAAUCAUGGUUAUAUCUGUUAUAUUUUUAAUAGAGGACAUUCCUCUCAUUUACUUUAUUUAUAAAAUAUAGUUUUUUUAAUAAAAGGUUCUUUGGUUUUAUUUUUAAUUUUUAAUUUAUAUAUUUAAGCUUUAAUGAAUAUAGAUUUAAAGAAAAACAAGUGACUAUUAUUUUAAUAUAUAUAUAUAUAUUAUUAUUAUUAUUAGUAAUGAUAACACACUCAUGAAAUAUUACAGAUAAUAUAUCAUAUAAAUACUAUACAGUACAUAAAGUCAUAUAUAUAUAUAUAAUAUUAUGUGUUUCAUCAUCAUUAUCAUUAUCAUCAUGUAGAUAUUAUUUGAGUGAGUUCAUCUUAUUUGAGCGAGUUCAUUUCGUUUGAACAUUAUUUAUUAAACUGAAUCACUUGCACGACCUCACAAUGUUUAAGCGAUAUGACUUGAGAAAAAACGCUAUUUUGAUUAUUUCAUCAAUGUUUGAUCGACCACCUGUUACUUAAGCGUUGAUGUAUAGUUGCAUGAUCUCACACAUUCUAAAAUUUUAUGCACUACUUGAGUGACAUUAUGUUGUUUGAGCAAUAUUUCAGUCUAAUGAAGAAAGAAUUGCUCCUCCUUGCUCAAACCUCAAGUUGUUAUCGCUCGAUCUACAUUUAAGCAAUAUUGAGUAGUAAAGUAAUUGGAUAGGUAAACUUACUUAAUUCAUAACUUUAUAGUGAGAUGAGUUGGAUUAAAAAUUUUAAGGUUAAUUAUUAAAGUAGUGAGGUAAACUGAUAAAUUAUAAAAAUUAACUAUGUUUCAUAAUGUAUUUCAUAAAUUAUAAAAAUUAUGGGGAAAAAUUCAAAAGUGAAUAAUUCGAAAAAGUCACUUUAGAGAAGAAUAAAAUGGUCAUUUCAAUAAAUUAUGGGAUUGUAGAUUAAACAAUGUGGGUACAUUAAGUAAAAGCCUUCUUUGAGAUCAUGGGCUAUUCGUAAGCCCAAAAUUUGAAUACAGACCUUAAAAUAGAAUGUUGUUUGAUAUAAAUAUAUAUUACAAUAAAUAAAUAAUUUCGUAAAUUUAUCAAAUAUGUUAUAUUUUAUAACAUAAAUUAAAAAAAAUAGUAUAAAUUUUCUCCAAUAACAUUUUUUAGUUUCUACAAUCAAAUAAUAACAUUAAUUGGUAAUUGUGAAGAGUUAGCAGAAUAUAUGAAUUAUUUUAAACAAUGUUUUUUAGUCUCUUAUGUUGGACAACAACGGCACAAGUAUGAGUUUAAGAGUAUUUGUCUUUAUUUCUGAAAUACAAUUUUAUAUUAUUUUGUUUUUUAUUUUGUAAAUGUUGUGUCUUAUCCCGGUCUAUGUCUCUCUUGGUUAGUGGUAUAUUCAUGUAUGCUCUUGUUCUAUCUCAAAUAUUAAUUAAAUAAAUUUUAUUACUUGAAAUAAAAAAGACAUUAAAAAAUAUAUUAUCAAUGAUUCAAUGUUAUUUUAAUUUUAAACAUGAAAUUAUAAUAUUAUAAUAUAAUAUUUAAUAACAAUUACAUAAAUAUUAAAAAUAGAAAAUAAAAAUAUUAAAAAAAUAGAAAUGAUCAAAUGUAUGUCUUAUAAAUAAUUUAAUUCAAUAAAUCUAAGUUUAUAUUUCUUAAAAUGAAAUAAAUAGUUUUGUACACUAAGAAAACAAAUAUGUAGUUGAAAUUGUGAUGAGAGAAAAAAUAUCUUAAAGAUUUUGGUAAAUUUGGUGCGUUUCGAACUAAGCCAACAAUUGAGAGAGAGAAUAAAAUAUUAAGUAACAAAAUAAAAGUUAUUCAGAUUAAACGAAACAAAACACCAAACAUAAUAUUAAAAAUAUAUUUUUUAAGUUACCAGAUAAAUUAAGGGUGUUUUAGUAUUUUUUAAAAAAUUAAAACAUGUAUGAAGAUAGAGGUGGACAGGUAUGUAUAUAUUUAUCUUCGUCCUCAAACCAAAUUUAAAAACUCAGAUAUUACUCAUAUUCAUACGGUUGGGUUGGGCUCACUUCUUAUGUGGAGGCCCAGCCCAAUAUUAAUCACCUUUAUGUUUUUUAUUCUUCAACAGAGAAGGUAGUCAGUUGAGUGAGAGAGAGAGAGCAAAGAGAGAGAGUAGAGAGAGAGAGAGAAAAAGAAAAGGAGAAAAGAGUGAAGAGAGGAAGUUUUGUCUAGCUACUUUCGGUCGUCGCCGACACUUUGCCCAUCAUUGGAUCGGGCUGAGAUUUUGUCAAAAGGUUCAUAACUUGUGGUAGUUCAAUUUGAUCAUUCGGAUAUUUGAGAAGUUGUUUGAGCAGUGAGAAAUUCGUCUCACACUACAACAACGCUUUUUGAGAAUGGAAAAUUUUCCGAUCGUCGCUGCUGCUUCGUCCAUCGUUGGAUGGGUCUGGGAAUUUGUCAGCAAAUUCAUAACUCGUGGUGCUUCAAUUUGACCAUUCAGAUUGUUGAAAAGUCACCGGAACAGUGACCUAUAGGCCGUGUACAGUAGCUAUGAUUUUUGUGAAUUUUCUGGUUUAUUGUUCUCUAUUUUACCUCUGUUGACUUGUUAUUUAGCUGAUUAUUAAGCACGGUUUGUGUUGUGAUUUGAGACUCUCCUGUAACCUUAAUUUUGAUCAUAGUGGAGCUUGAUUGACUGACUUGUGUUCGUUGUUUUUACUUCUCGUAUUGAGAAGAUUUUCUAAGUUAAAAUUUGUGUUUUCCUUCCAUGUAUUUUUGUUGUUGCCAUUAUUUGUUAUUGGUACUCAUAGAUUCUUGUAAAUUGGAUUACUUAUUAUUAUUUGCUUAUUGCUCUGAUUGAGUUAUUAUUUCACUGUGUUGAAUUUUUCAUCACAUACCCAUACCCAUGUUCAUGAAAAAUUCUCAUCAAAAUUAAAAGAGUUAAAGACAAUUGAUGAUGUUGUAGCAUUUGAUAAAUAAUUAGAAACAUUGAUUAUCAAAACACAAUCGCACAACUUUCCAAUUUAUUACAUUGUUACUGUAGUUGAUUUACCAUUAUUUAAAGUUGUAACGAUAAAAGUAAAAAGAUCUCAAUGGCAAAUGUUAUUGUAUGGAGCGAGAAUGUCUCUUUUUUAUACUCUAUUCCUUUCAAGACGAUUUCUCCGUAGUGUGGAUGAUCUCUCUUUGAUGCGGAAUGAGGGCACACUUGCAAAAGGUGUUUUGACACUUUAAGUCACUUCUUUUGAAUAGUUGAGGGUAAUAAAUGCUAUUAAAAACAUACAUUUAUUUAAUUUUGACAACUAAUUUAUUAAAAAUUAUUCUUUCAUUUUUAAAUGAAUUAUUAUAGAAACUUUUAAUUGUAUAUAUAAUAAUCUAGAAGGGAUAAUAGAUUGUAUUUCAGUUAGAUUCUAUGGUAUGGAACAUUGAUAUUAUAACUCUUAACAUAUAGUGAAAGUAUUACAAUUCUAUUGUAACUUAACUCUUCUAAAUUCUGAAAUCGACAAUAAAAUUAAUCUGGUUAACAAAACUCAUCUAUCAACAAUUAUUUCACUCACAGUUCAACAUGUAAUAUUAGGUCUAAUGGUAAUACACUUUUUUUUAAGUAGAAAUAACUUAGUAUCAAAUACAACCUGAAUUGGUCAUACCCAAAGGGACAUGUCGAAAGGUCAGGAGGUGAUAAAUGUCUAAUUUCAGUAAUAUUUCAUAUUAAAAUAUAGGCACUUAUGAGAAUUUAUUGCUAAUUUACAUAUAAAAUAAUCCCUAAUUUAUGAAUUUAUACCUUUUUUAUAUUUUUUGUGAUCUUUAUUUGAAUAAGAGUAUUUUUCAAAUUUGGUGUUAAUUGCAGAUUUCUAAGGAAAAUUGGAGAUUUGAAUUUAAGAUGAAUGAUUUAAGCUAAAAAGAUAAAGAUAGAAGGUCCCAGAAUGGAAAAGAUGCAAAGAAAGAUUGAGCUUUUUUAUGUUUUAUCAUUUAGCCCAUUAGCGCGACACAAGAAGCAACCUAACCCAGAAAACUACGAUAAAUAGAGGGCUAGAGACUCAACUGUAGUGUGCCAGAUUGAGAGGAAAACACCAUAGAGUGAAUUGUAACCCAAUUGGGAGAAUGGAAGGUGCUAGAAGUAUGCGUGCUAAUUCUACCCUUUGGGAUUUGAAGUAAUCCGCUCAAACUCUUAUGUAUUGAGGUGAUAUCUUAUAUAUUAAUAUUCAGUUCUUGAUUGAUUAUUGGUAUUGUUGUUUUACUUUUAAUUUUUCGUGACACCUCGAUAGUUAGGGAACAUUCUUAAGAAUUUUAUAUGCGAGGAAUCGAUAUAAAUGAUUUUUAUACGGGCUUCAAUUUCAAUCAAAGAACUUAAUAUUGACAUGCUAAUCAAAAUACUUGAGAGUGAGAGAGAUGAAACUAAUCCUUAUUUUUCCAAUUGAAACAACUAAUUAUUUGUUUGUUUUCUUAUUGAUCAGUGCCAACACAAUUAAUUCAAAACUCUUUUAAUUGUUCUGUUUUUAUAUUUAGCGAUUAUUGUACUCGAUAAUUCAUUGUUCCUUGUGAGAUCGAUAUCCGUCCUUAGGGACAAUUAUUACUUCUUACAAACGCGGUGCACUUGCCGUAAAAAGUCAUCAGGAGGUUAAGAAGUCGAAAAAAGAAAAGAACGAAAGAGAUGUUAGUGGAAAUCUUACGUGAAAAGGCAUACAUGUGUCAAUUUUAAUAAGAAACACAUAUAGACAACAAAUAAAAUUAAUUAAGUGUUAAAGGAAAAAAUUAUAAAAAUAGAAAAUCAAUUAAAAUAGAUGAUAAGUAGAAGAUUUAAUAUGAAGUGACAAGCUCAAUAAACUCUUAUUAACGAGUAGUAUAAAUAGAUAAAAUAUUUAGUUUAAUAGUUUAAUUUUUUCGAUGAAUGAUUAAAAUAAAUUCUAGUUAAGCUUUAGAGAAUUUCUACUUAUACAACAGAGGAAAAGAAAAACGAAAAGGAUAAAGCAAGGAUGGAAGACACUCUUCCCUGUAAAAUUUGUACAAGUACACACCCCUUUGAGUUAAUGAUAAAAACUAGAUCUAAGAGUAUAAAAUAGUAAUUUGAAAUGAAUAAUUUAUUGAAAAAAAAACAUGUUGAUGUUCUAAAAUAGUUUAAAUAAUAGUGAAAGGGCUUUGGUAAUGAUGAUGAUAAGAGAAAGGAAGGAGUUUGAUUUUUUAUGCGCUUUCAAAAUCAAGGGUCCAUGUGCACCAUUCUCCGUGUUUAUUGCAUGGAGCAAGUGGCAAGUGAAUUUGUUUUGAAUAAGACUAAUGUUUCACCCAAAAGGAAAAUUAAAUAUAUGAUUCAAUAAACUAUCUUCAUUUUCGUGGUGAAAACAAAUGAGGAAGUUAUGCUUAUAUAAUGCAUUUAUGAACAUAAUCUUUUGUGUAAUAAAAAUAAAAUUACGAUUAACUUGGUAGAAAAAGAGAGAGAUAAUACUAUAGAAUAAAACUUUAUUGAUAAAUAAUGAAGAGAGAAGAAUAUAAAAUAGUUUUGAAAAAAAUACUCAUAAUUUUGAGUAGCACUACAUUUUGUAAUGAUAUUAAGAGAGCAACAUAUCCAAAUUAUUCAACUUUUGCAUAAUUGGGGAAGGGUUCACCGCUGUACGUCACUCAAAAAAGGAAUCGUACGGCUACGGGUUUUUUCAUAAUUAUUCAAAAUAAUAAAAAUAAAAAUAAUAAAUAAAUAUUAAUUGGGACAUAAUCUAACCCAUCCAUUUUAACUCAAAUUUAACAUCUUAAAAUUUAUAUCAAUCAUUUAAUUCAGAGUUAACUAAAUAUAAAUUAUUCAAGUAUAUUUUUUUUAAGAAAAGAAUUAAAAAAAUCAAAGUAUUUAAGAGAUGUUUCAACUUAUAUAAAAAACAAUCUAAACUAAAAUUUAUAUAUAUAUAUAUAUAGCUAAACAUUAUAACAUAUUUCCUAAAAAUAAUAAUCUAUAAGAGUCUUUCAUAACUAAAUUAUAUACACUAGCCAACAUUAAUCAUUACAAGUAUCACUUAAUAUUAGUGAGUGUGUUACUUUGAUUUUAUUUAUAUUGGACCAAACUUUUGAAAAAAAAUAGUUUAUAUUAAUUUUAGACAAAUAAAAUAAAUAUAUUAAACCAUUAGCAUAAAAGAGUGUGUGUGAUUUCAAUAAUUAUUUUAUAAUAGACCAUGUGUUGUACAAUUUAUUCUUAAAUUUAAUAAAAGUUGACCAUGUAAAAAAUAAAAUUAAAAAUUGAAACUUAUAAUUUUACUAGAUUUUAACAAAAUUUACUAAAAUGACAAUAUUUUGGUCCGGUUAAUUAUAAAUGAAUUUCAAAAGUUGAAUCCAAAUUCAAUCCUUUUAUCUUUGUGAAUUGAUUUUGUUCAAACAAAAAUCCAUUUACAUAAUUUAACUCAUUUGUUUUCAAAGGAUACUUAUAAAUUUCAACUUUUAUAGUAUGUUUGUUCGAUGUGUAAGGAAGGACGGAGAGGCGAGUGAGAGGAGUGUCUAUUUGAUUUUGUGUGUUUGAGGGUGUUGAUGCGGAUGGGGAGUGGGGUGAGUCCUUUUUUACUUUUCACUUUUGUGAGAAGAUGUGCACUGAUUACAUUUGGCACAAGAUGCAAUUUUACUUUUGUAUCCUUCCAUCCAUUCUAAAUAUAUUAAACACUAUAGGUAGUUCUGCAUGCAUUUUUUAAUGGCUUUUCUUUUUUACACUGCUCAGUGUUAGCACUGGGUAGAAGAAUCUUGACCAAAAAAUUGUAGACCCAUGAACGUGAAGUGUUUGUUAGUGUGUAAAUAUAAUUAGGUUUGUGAGAGUUUUGCUUGUUGUGAAGUUUGCUCUUAUGCCCAGAACGAUGAAAUUGGUUUGAGGAAUGAGAGAACUGGUCUGCCUUGAUUUUUUUUUUAGCAGUCCUGUACAUUCAAAAUCAUUUAGAAACAAUAAAAUCGAUUCUGGUGGUUGUUUUAGACAAACAUAAUUGAUUUUUGAAUUUUCCAAAUACAUAAUCAAUUUUCAUAUUUUUAUAAAUGGUGCAAAAUCAAUUUUCAAUUUUCAAAUUGUGCAAAAUCGAUUUUUCAAUUUCUGAAAUGGUGUGGGUGAAGGUUGAUUUUUAUAAGUAAAACAGAUUUUCAAGAAAAGUGUUGAAAUGUUAACUAACUUGUUAUGAUUUUUUUUUCCUUAUUGAAUCUUGGAUCUUGGGUGCUUUGGAUCUUGGAUCUGUUAUAGUGGUUCUUUGCUUCUCUUUAUCAUUCUGUUUCUUCUUUUUCUUCUUCUUCUUCUUCUCCAGUACCCUUCACCUUUAUUUUAUAAAGUCAGUUGAAAAAACACAUGUUGAGACAAAUAAUUAGGUCAUUAAUAACUACAUUAAUGCUAAAAAUAUACUACUUUAUAAAUAUUAAAAUCUAUGUAAUUCAAAUGUGACCUUUUUCUGAAAAAAAAAAUUCAUAUAUUCUUCAUAAUUUUAAGUCUGUUGGUAUUAAUGGUUUGUUGAAUAUUAUUGACAGUGAUAAGAUCAAAUUAUUGUGUUGUCUAAGUACGAAAACAUAAGUAAUCCAUUUUUAAUGUUUGUAAGUUUGAGAUAAAAACUUUUAAAAUUAUUAUAUAAUGACGCAAGCAUGAUUUAUUUUUCAUAAAAAAUGAGGACUAUCUGCGUAUAUUUAAAAUUAAUUUCAUGCAUGGCUACAUGAAUCUGCAUCCAUUGAAACUUAAUACAAGUUGAGGUAUUUAGAAUAUGUUUGAAAAAGAAAUUAAAAUUAACUUAUUUACAAUUUAAAAACAAGAAUUUAAUUAAACUAUGUAGAAAAUAUUUUACAAAUUAGUUUAUGCAUUAACAAAUUUUAUUUUAUAAAAGAAAAUUUAUUUUUCUUCAAUUUAUCUUCUAGAAAUAUUUUUAAAAAAACUUAUCCAAACAGACUCAUUGUUCUUAAUUUCUUCUAUACUAACUCUUGCAUAGGGUGCAUGAAUAUAUUUAGUGGUAUUUUGGUUCAGAUGUUGGAUCGUGAUCUUAGAUUUUUUUAUAUUUGGUCGUGAGAAAAGUGAAUGGAUGAAAAAAAAAAUCCAAAAUUCAAAUUGGAAAAAAAAUGAAGGAAAAAACUUUAACUUUUUUUUUUAAUUUUUAAGAUGUUUUUUUCUUCUUCAACUAUAGAAAAAGAAAACACAUUGUUAUUCUUUUCUUUUUUCAAACAUUCUUUAUGGGGAACAUCAUUUUUAUGUGAAUUAACAAAGCCUUCAUACAAUAUUUUAAUUAAAGCUUUUAUCAAAAUAAAAAUAAGUUGUAGAAGUUUAAAGUUAAAUGUGAUUCCAAUUCACUAAAAUUCGUUAAAAAUAAAAUUUUAAUAUAUGGCAACUAAUUAUUUUAGUAUCUAAACUUAGUUUUUAUAAUAAUUAUUUUAGAUAGUUAAUACUAAAAAUAAUUAUAAUUAUUUUUUGUUUUAAAUAACUUAUUUGAUAUCAAACAUGCAUCGUUCAAAUUUAAUUUCGAACAUUUAUACAAUUGUGAAAAGUACAUUAUUCACGCAAAAAAUAAUAUAUGUUUAAAGCUAUAUAAUAACUAUAGUAUUUAAUUAAAUUUUAAUUUUAUUGAAUUAAAUUAGACUUAAUAUUUAGUCAAAAAAUUAUAAAAUAUUUAUUUAAAUAAUUAAUAUACAUUAAAAAAAUUAUAUAAUUAAUUAUAUAGGUGAGUUAUGGAGUAAGUUGGAUAUUAUAGUAUUAUUUGCACUUCAAAAUAGAUUAAGUCAGUUACACAAAAUCCCCAUUUGCUUAAUUUUAUAUAAAAAAAAAGAAUAAUAGACAAUAAUAUAAUUUUAUUAAAAUAUAUAUUAGAAUUUAUUUAUAAAAUCAUUAUACCUAGAUUUAAAAUGAAUUUCACUCAUGUGAUUUAAUUUUUUUAUAUAAUCAUUUAUUUUAUUUUUUAAAGUAGUCUAAUUUAAUUCAUUGACGGGAAUAAGAAAAUGAUAUCGAAUGAAGGUCAACCAUAAUAAUGCCUAACAAUAAUCGAAAGAGUCAUUUCUAAAAUUAGUGGAAGUACUUUUAAAAAAUUUCUUAUUUUGGCGUUAAAAAUAUGAUACUUAAAACUUUGUUAAAUUUGACGUUCAUAUAUUUAAAAUAUAAUAUAUUAUAGCAUUAAAAAAUAAAAUACAUAAAUAUAAUCACAAUACAGUAAUAUAAUUUUAUCUAAUAUAAUUUUGAAAUUAAAAUGUAAAUAAAUCAAUAAAAUAUUAAAUACUUCAAAAUAUAAAAAAGAUGAUCGUAUGUCACUUUUAUAGUGUAGAAUGAAUAUUGAACCAUAUAAGGGGCAUUGUAGUAAAUUUCAUGACUUUUUUUAUUGGAAAAAACAGUGUCACAAAAUUGUUUAUUGUAUUGUAACACGGGCCACCAAAUAUAUUGACUUUUUGUAUCAAACUCAUUGCAGAACAAAUAUUUAUUUUACUAACAUAAGAAGAAUACUAGAUUAAUAUUCUUAAUUUUUGUUUAGGAAUAAUUAUACUUAUUUUCUUGAGAUUGGGGUUAAUUAUACUCACACAAUUGAUACUUUUUUUAAGUGUAUUCCAUAUACUAAAUACAUAAUGUGUAUAAUUCACAGAUAGAAAUAGAAGAGGUACGUGGAUUUUUUAAUUCCAAAAUGUAAGAAUAAUAUAUAAACUAAAAUUGUGACUGUGAUACAAAUUUUUUAGUUGUGAUAUUUUUUAUUUGUUUUGGUCUCCAAAGUUAUAAAUAUAAAUAUAAAUAAAAUUAUUUAUCAUACAUUGGUUUGUAAUAUGCACUUUGACCUAGUAAGUUUUAACUACAAAUCGAUCUAAAUUAAUUUGUAUAAGAAUUAAAAUAUAUUCCUUUUAAAAAAACCAUAACUUUCCGUGAUACACAUUUUUUUUUCUUUAUAUAUAUUUUUCUCUCUAAAUAUUUCUCAUCUCUUUUCAUUUUCUCUUUCAAUCUUCAUCUAUUUUAGAAUCUAAUCGGACCACGUUGUAGCCGAUGAGUUAAGAACAUUUUUACUCAAUUAGAUUUUCAAACAGAGUAAAUUCAUUUUUGCUCUAAAGAUCAUUUGUUCUCUGUUUUUCUUUAGGAUUUAGUCAUCAAUCUUGGUGGGAUCAGUUGAGAAGAUUAAUUCUCUCAACUUAUUUUACUAUAUAUUGAAUUUUUGUUAUGUUUGGAUAACUUGUAUUAGGCUCGUAAAUCUUGAAGUUUAUCUGUACUGUGGGGAAUACAAUUCUAGAAGUUGUUUGGAAAGCAAGUAAUUAAGGUAAGGGAAACUAACUUAAAUUUUUAAUAGCACCCUAGGUUAGAUGAUCUGGAUGUGGAAGGGACGUGGUCCCAGUAUUCAAUUUCUCUUGUAGGGAUGUUGUGUGUUUAUAUAUUGUGUCACUUGUUUAUAUAUUAUUUAAACUGAUAUAAAUAUUAGAUUUUGAUGGUUUAGUAUUUAAGUGAUGUUUUGUUAUGUUAAACAGACUUUUAAAUGUUGUGGAUCACGUUUUGAAUGAUAUUGUAUGAUGAAAAUGGUAUGAAAUUGAAUUAAUACAUUUGAGAUAAUGUAUGGAUUGAUGUAUGUAUGUGUAUUAAGUAUUGAUGUUUAUGUGAUAACAUAGAUCUACGAGCUUCAUUGAUGAUCUAAGUCACAUAGACUAAGAUAUUAGGUGGUGAAAAGUGGUGAAAAGUCGAUGGAGGAGUUCAUGCACACCGUGACAUAUGAGAUGCACGACUUGGGUUGUAUUGAACUUAUCCUGAUCCUUUCUAUUGGACUCAAUGAUAAUCUUUGGAUCAGGUGUUAGUCUUUGGUAAGUCUUUUAAAAGGCGUCAGAUGUUAUUUUGUUUGUUGAAUAUCCUGGAUGUGUAGAUCCAUGUAAAAUCUAUGUGAUUGUUUUAUGUUGGGAUUUGAAGAAAAUUGAAUAAUUGAGAAAUUGAUCCAUGUAAUUUAGUUUUUUCUUUUGAUUUAAUUGUGUAUAUUAUAAAAAUUUAUUUUCACUAGCUUACCCUUACUUUUCUUGUUGUAUUGUGAAAUGUGCGAUGAUUGUACUAUAUGUACACGAGUAGAUGAUCACAUAGGUGUUGGAGGUCCCGAAAAGCUUUAGGAUGUUCUUUUGAACUUUAUAUUAUAAAUAUUUACAUUUCUAUAAGUCCUAAUCAGAUAUUAGAAAUAUUUUAAAAAAACUCUAAGCUUGUAUAGAAAUAUGUAGAACCUGUGUUAUAAUAGUUAGAUGUACUUUUUUUAGUGUUACAAAAUGUCUUGUUUAAUUUAAUUUAUUUAUUGUACUGGUAGCCUAAAACCGAGAGGUAUAGGCCGAGAACUACAUGUUAAAUAACCAAAGUGAUAAGUUAAAACCGAGAGGUCUAGACCGAAACCUGAAAGGAUAAUAGAAAUUAUAAUAAAACCCAAUUUAAAUAAGGAACUUGCACAAGGGGGUGUAAAAAUAAUAAAAAGGUGUAAAAAGAAAGUCCAAAAGUACUGUAGAAGGCCCAUCAACGAAACCCUAUAAAUAGGAGGUCAGCACAAGAAAAAGGUAAGAGUGAUUUUAUCUGAAAAACCAUUAAAUUGUUUCUGACUUUGGCAUCGGAGCGACUUGCAGGUACAUCCCCCCACCUGUGAGGAAUACCAGCCGAAAGGAGCAGCCGAGAAGAGCAGCCAAGAGGAGCAGCCGAGAGUGCCAGCCGAGAAAAGUAGCCGAGAGUCCAGCCCAGGAAGUAGUUCAGCCCAAGAGGAAACCGAGAGUCCAGCCCAAGAAGUAGUUCAGCCCAAUAGGAAAUACCAUUUUGGUCGUCUUGUCAUUUUGGUUCGAGUGUUCUUGGUCCUUUUUGUAAGAACAUUUAUUAUUAAUAAAAAAAAUAUUAAAAAUAAAAUUAUUUUACAAUAUAUAAGUGAAGAUAAAAUUUGAAUUGAUUUUUCAACCUAUUUUACAAAUUUCAAUUAAGUUUAAAUACACUUUCUAAUAUCUCACCUUCAAUUGAUUCCAACUUUAAAUGUUAAUGCGGGCAACUGUUAGCAUACCACUUUCACGUGUAUCUAAAAUGUACAAAAAAAUUAUACCUUGAAACCAUAUAAAAUAAAGUAUCUUCACUUUACGACCCCUAUUUUAAGAUAUAAUAAUAAUAAUAAUAAUAAUUUAUAUUAAGAUAUAAAAAAUAUAAUUAAAAUAUUAAUAUAUUAAAUUGUGAAGAUGUUGUUUUUCUUAAGAAUAUAUCAAUAUAUCAUCUCUAUCUUAAUUAUAUAACAUGACAUCAUAAAGUAAAUAGUGAUAAUUUACAUACUUUUAUACUCUUGUCAUAUUAUAUAUAUCUCUUAUAAUUUUCUUUCUUUCUAUAUAAAUAUCCAUGAAAACAUUUUCUAAAAGUAAAACCAUGAAUCUUCUGAGAAAAAAAAUAAAUGGACAUCCAUCCAACACCAUUAUUAUAAAUAAUAAUAAUAACAAUAAAGUCAUAUAAAUAAAUUUUGAUGAGGUAUUUGGUAAAAAAUAGUAAUUUUUCUAGCAUCACUCAUGUUGUUUCUGUAUCUUAAAGUAUACGUGGAAAGAAAGUUCAUGUGGAGUCCACUCAGAUUUAUACAGAAAGCCAACUCAGAACACUCAAUUAUCAAUUUACUCGGUAAUUUUAUUCAACAUAUAAUUGAAAAAUAAUAAUAAAAACAAUUAUAUUUCUUACAAAUUUCAACAAAUAAAAAUUCAAGAUUAAUAUAUUAAAAAAUUAUUGUAUUAACUUUAUUUUCUUCUUAAUUAUUAUUUUUUAAUUAAAAGAUUCUUUCAGUGUAAUGAAUUUUAUUUUUUUUACAUCUCUCAAAUGAGUUCUUUCUGACCGGUUUUGUCGUCAAUUCGAAUUGUGACUCAUUUACUUUGAAUUGUCAUUACUUACAUCUACACAUGAAAAAUUAAUAAAAAUAAUUUAAUUAAAUUAAAAAAAAUAUUAGGUACUCAAAUAUAAAUUAAUAAAAAAAUCAAAUUUAUGAGAGACUUAAAAUUAAUUAAACCAUAAUAAUAAUUAAAGUUUGAUUGCUUACAUGUAAGCAAGUGAAAAAAAUUAAUAUGUUAAAAAUUGUUUAAUUAUAUUUUCUCUUCUUACUAACAUUUGCAGAAAUAUUUUUAAGUAAUUAAUUAUUUAAUUAAUGUAAACCUUAAUUUUUAAUUAAAUUUAAUUUUUAUUUCCAAUUUAUUAAAUAAUUACUUCUUAUAUUAAAUCAUAUAUCAAUUUUAAUUUAUAUUCAUUCUUAUUAAAUGUUAGCUAAAGAUAUUCAGAACAUUCAUUAUAUUAUCCAAUAUUUUUAUUCAAUGAAAUUCAGUGAAAUUUUUUUAUUCAUUUUCCUUCACUUUUUAUCUUAUUUCUCUCAAUCAAAAUAAUAUCGUCUUUCACUCUAUUUCUCUCAUUUUUUUACUCUCUCAAAUCUAACUUUCAAUCCAAACAAACUCGAAAUUUAUAAGUCCAUAAUUUUAAUGUAAAAUUAAGAUCUAUAAAAAAACAUAUUUUAUAAUAAUAGUAAAUUUAUUGUUACCCUUAUCAUUUUUUAAUAUUAAAAAAUAUGCAAGAAACAUAAUAUUUUACAUAACAAUAAUAAUCAUUUUUUAAACAUGCUAUAAAUCAAUUUAAAUCAAAACAUCACAAAAUUGGGUAUUGAAAUAAUAUAUUGGGUAUAUCUAAAGAAAUUUUGAAACAAUGUUUAUAUUUUUGUCUCCAAAAUUAAAUUAGGUAUUUUCUUCUUGUGGUUACUUUAAUCUUUUUAUAUUAUAUCAAGUUAUUUGUAAUAAUUGGUCAUUUUUUUUAUACAUGUUUGAUGAUAUUUUUAGCAAAUCAAUCCUAAUAUUUGAAUUAUAAUUAUAUAUAAGAUUCAUUCCCUCUUUAAUAGUGGAGGAAAUGACUCUUUAUUUUAAAGAUUAAAAAAAGAAUGAAACCUUAAAAAACACAAUAAUUCAUGAUAUAUGCUUUAAAAAUUAGGGAGAAAAGGAAGUUCGUGAAGAAAAAAAAAGUUUUUAUCUUUUGAGAUAAUGUCAAUAGAGUUGAUAUCUAAUGUUUUAUUUGUUUUGGAGUGUGCACAUUAAUCAUAAUUUUCUUUGCGAUUUUUAGGUUUUUCUUUACAAAGUGUGAUUGUUUUUGUUUUUGCUAAUUUAUAAUUUUUUUCUCAUUUAGCUUUCUUGCCAUUUACUUUAUUUUACAUUUAUGGUUUUUUUUUAUUAAUGUUUUCACUUUCUUUAUUCUUUACUCAUAUCUCACUUUCCAAAUUUAUUCACUUAAUUAUUUAUUUAUUUGCUUUUUUAAAUUUUACGUGUUUGUAGAUUUCUACGUAUACUUCAUUAUUUUUUAAUCCUUUAUCUAAAAAAGCAUUAGAAAAUUUAUUUUAAUUAUAUUAAAAUUGUUGGGAAAAACGGGUAAUUUUCCCACUAAAACAUAAUCCUAACAAAGCUACCCGACAAAUAAUAUUGAAUAAAUAAAGCGGAAUAAUAAAAGAGACAAAGAGGAAAAACACACCGAAAAUUGUUAACGGAGUUCGACCAAUUUAGCCUAAUCUCCGAGCAUAGCAAAAACAAUUCACUUUUAUUAUUAUGGGAGAAGAUAUUACAAAUUGGGAUAUAUAACAGUGAAGGAGAAGAGUUUAAUUUAUAACCCUCAAACCUCCUUCUCAAACAAUGAACCCACUGAUGUGGGACUUGGGAUUAAGCCAAAAUCAACAAAUCUCUCACCUAAAACAAAUCUUCUCAAAACAUAACAAAAACAAACUUUGCGGUGCUUCAAAUUUGCGCCUCCGGGCGCCAACUUCAAAUGUGCAAGAUAUUAACCAAGUUUAAACAGUGUUCAAACUUGGUUCUUGUAACUACCUUGUCUUGUAGCGAACAUCUUCUUUAUUAGGAAAUCCUUCUUUCUUUGCAAAUACCCAUUUGCACCCAAUUGCCUUCUUACCUUUCGGUAAUUGUGCCAGCUUUCACGUCUUGUUCUUCUUCAAAGACUGCAUCUCCUCUUCCAUCGCACUUGCCCAAUUACCACUCUCUGAACUCAUAAUGGCUUCUAGGUAAGUGGAUGGAAUGUCAUCAACAACUGGAAGUGCAUAGGCAACCAUAUCCAUGAAACGAGCAGGCUUCUGAAUAUCUCGUCUCUGUCUUCUAACUGCAAUUGGCACUGAUUGCUGUUGAGAUUCUUGGGUAGGAACCUCUUCCUCAUCUGACUCUUCUUCUACCAUAGGAGAGUCACUUGUGGUAUUUCGUGUUGGGAUCACCACUGUCGGCUCAAACUCCACCUGCUUCCGGGCAUACUCCACCUGUUGCGGAGUACUAUCAGCUCUUUCUAGAUUUACCUUCUUUAACAUGGCAGAUUCAUCAAAGGUAACAUCCCUGUUGAUAAUCGUCUUCUUUGCCUCUAGACACCACAAACGGUAUCCCUUCACUCCAGGACUAAAGCCCAUGAAAAGAGCUUUCUUUGCCCGUGGAUCCAACUUUGAUUCAAUCACAUGAUAAUAUGCAAUAGAACCAAAAACAUGCAAAGAAUCAUAAUCAGUUGCAGGUUUUCCAGACCAUACCUCUAACGAGGUUUUUCCAUCUAUAGCAGAUGAUGGCAAACGUUUGACGAGAUGUUGAGCGUAUGUCACAGCCUCAGCCCAAAACUCUCUGCCUAACUCAGCAUUAGACAACAUACAACGAACUUUCUCCACAAGUGUCUUGUUCAUACGCUCCGACACCCCAUUCUGAUGUGGUGUUUUUCUAACAGUGAAGUGUCGAACUAUGCCACAAUCUUGACAUACCUUCAGGAACAGAUCACUCUUGUAUUCUCCUCCAUUGUCUGUUCGGAGAACCUUAAUCUUCCUUCCUGUCUGGUUUUCAACUUGAGCUUUCCACUUAAGGAAAAUUUCAAGCACAUCAUUUUUGUUCUUCAUAGUAAACACCCAAACUCUCCUGGAAAAAUCAUCCACAAAAGUGACAAAAUAAUGCCUACCUCCGAUUGACGGAGUCUUGGCAGGUCCCCACACAUCUGAAUGCACAUAAUCCAGAAUACCCUUGGUAUUGAGAAUUGCAGUGCCAAACUUCACUCUUCGUUGUUUUCCCAGAACACAAUGCUCACAAAAUUCAAGUUUGCAAGCCUUCGUACCUUUCAACAAUCCCUGCUUGGUAAGAAUUUGCAAGGAUUUCUCUCCAGCAUGUCCCAACCUCAUAUGCCACAACUUCGUUGCCUCAACAUCCUNNNNNNNNNNNNNNNNNNNNNNNNNNNNNNNNNNNNNNNNNNNNNNNNNNNNNNNNNNNNNNNNNNNNNNNNNNNNNNNNNNNNNNNNNNNNNNNNNNNNNNNNNNAGUUGCUUUAAGAAUUUCAUCUCGCAUCGUCACAACUAGGUCUUUAGAUUCUAAAGCCCCCAAUGAGAUGAGAUUCUUCUUCAACUUUGGCAUGUACCGUACAUCCCGCAAAAUUCUGGUGGAUCCAUCAUGAUUCUGCAACUUGAUUGAACAUAUCCCAGUUGUCGUACAUGGAUUAUCAUUACCCAUGUAAACAACCCCGCCAUCAAGUUCUUGAAAUUCAAAGAACCAAUCCCGAAUGGGACACAUAUGAUAGGUACAACCUGAAUCCAAUAUCCACUCAUCUGGAUACGAUGAUG
This 28627-nucleotide long non-coding RNA is filed under the name Phaseolus vulgaris (common bean). Its description in RNAcentral is "long non-coding RNA (PVUL_LNC001314)". Lineage: Eukaryota; Viridiplantae; Streptophyta; Magnoliopsida; Fabales; Fabaceae. The record is from RNAcentral.